This 329-nucleotide unclassified non-coding RNA is filed under the name soil metagenome. Its description in RNAcentral is "partial contains 5.8S ribosomal RNA, internal transcribed spacer 2, and large subunit ribosomal RNA". The stretch from base 1 to 120 matches the Rfam family "5.8S ribosomal RNA", at positions 35 to 154 of the family's 154-position model. The record is from RNAcentral.
GAUGAAGAACGUAGUGAAAUGCGAUAAGUAAUGUGAAUUGCAGAAUUCAGUGAAUCACCGAAUCUUUGAACGCACAUUGCGCCCCCUGGUAUUCCGGGGGGCAUGCCUGUCCUAGCGUCAUUACAACCCUCAAGCUCAGCUUGGUGUUGGGCCCCGCCGCCCCGGCGGGCCCUAAAGUCAGUGGCGGUGCCGUCCGGCUCCGAGCGUAGUAAUUCUUCUCGCUCUGGAGGUCCGGUCGUGUGCUCGCCAGCAACCCCCAAUUUUUUUCAGGUUGACCUCGGAUCAGGUAGGGAUACCCGCUGAACUUAAGCAUAUCAAUAAGCGGAGGA